AACUCCUGCAGUUUGGUUAGAACAAAAUGGGGAAGCUGUCAAAGCAGGUGGCUGCAGAGCUUGGGAAGAUAUGGAUGAUGGCUGCUUUCACAUGCCCCAGAGCUUGUACUCAGAGCAAGAAGUCCUCCCAGGAAGGUCAGAGGAGUAAAGGGUCACUUAGGGAUUCUGAGGCACAGUGGAAGUGACGCUAGUUGAGCAAGGAUGAAACCAGACUUCUGAAGGCACAGCUCUGCCGCCAGCUAGUUGAAAGCUGAGCAAUCAUCUAACCUGUCUCAGGCUCAUUCUCUUCACUUAAAAUACCUCAGGCAGGAAGAAUACACACUAAGAUGUCGAUAGUGGUCCUCUCUGGGUGUAGAAUUAUGGGAAUCGCUGAACUCUGUGUCAUAAAUCUGAACACAGACCUGACUCAGGGACUGAAAAUGCUAAAGGAAGAGCUGUCAUGGGGGCCGAAGGAGAUGUAAGCUCAAGUCUAUCCCAUGGCCACAAGAAUACAGUGAAAGUGACACAGUACCAGUUCUGGACUGAAGCUUUAAGACUACCUGACAAUUUUCGCUUUUGUACUUUUGAAACACAGUCCUGAACUGCCAUGUAAGAAGUCUGACUGUCAGGCAUGGUGGCUCACGCCUGCAAUCCCAGCACUUUGGGAGGCUGAGGCAGGAGGAUCAGGAGGUCAAGAGUUCAAGACCAGCCUGGCCAACAUGGUG
This is a long non-coding RNA of Piliocolobus tephrosceles (Ugandan red Colobus), 704 nucleotides long. RefSeq lists it as uncharacterized. The transcript has 3 exons. The record is from RefSeq and is a predicted model, not a curated record. NCBI's taxonomy places the organism in Eukaryota, Metazoa, Chordata, Mammalia, Primates, Cercopithecidae.